UGAGUAACCUGCCCUCCACUCUGGGAUAAGCCCGGGAAACUGGGUCUAAUACCGGAUAUGACCUCCUGUCUCAUGGCGGGUGGUGGAAAGUUUUUUCGGUGGGGGAUGGACUCGCGGCCUAUUAGCUUGUUGGUGAGGUAAUGGCUUACCAAGGCGACGACGGGUAGCCGGCCUGAGAGGGCGACCGGCCACACUGGGACUGAGACACGGCCCAGACUCCUACGGGAGCAG
Molecule: ribosomal RNA, 231 nt
Filed under: uncultured bacterium
Lineage: Bacteria
Description: partial 16S ribosomal RNA
Rfam family: Bacterial small subunit ribosomal RNA
Source: RNAcentral